This 433-nucleotide ribosomal RNA is filed under the name uncultured bacterium. RNAcentral describes it as "partial 16S ribosomal RNA". It matches the Rfam family "Bacterial small subunit ribosomal RNA", at positions 29 to 507 of the family's 1533-position model. The record is from RNAcentral.
AAUGAACGCUGGCGGCAUGCCUAACACAUGCAAGUCGAACGAACCCUUGGGGACCUUGGGCCCACGGGUUCGUAACGCGAGGGAACCUUCCCUCGUGGUCGGACUAACUCCCCGAAAGGGGUGCCAAUACCGGAUAAUGGCUUCUGCCGAAAGAUAUAUUGCAUCUGGUGGGUCCCGCGUUGGAUUAGAUAGUUGGUAGGGUAAAAGCCGACCAAGCCGACCAUCCGUAACUUGUUUGAGAGGAUGAUCAGCCACACUGGGACUGGGAAACGGCCCGGACUCCUCCGGGAGGCAGCAGUGGGGAAUAUUGGACAAUGGGCGAAAGCCUGAUCCAGCAAUGCCGCGUGAGUGAUGAAGGCCUUAGGGUUGUAAAGCUCUUUUAACCGGGAUGAUAAUGACAGUACCGGGAGAAUAAGCUCCGGCUAACUCCGUG